Mesocricetus auratus (golden hamster) is the source of this 335-nucleotide long non-coding RNA. RefSeq lists it as uncharacterized. The record is from RefSeq and is a predicted model, not a curated record. Lineage: Eukaryota; Metazoa; Chordata; Mammalia; Rodentia; Cricetidae. The transcript is spliced from 3 exons.
AAGAGGAGGAGCAAGGAGAGACCCAGGAGCCGAGGGGGUCAGCCAGCCAUGGAGUAAGAAGGAAAGUAAGAUACACAGAAGUAAGGAAGCUCUGUCUGGCCUGUAAUUUGCUGUAUAGACUAAGUUGGCUUCAUGUUAACAGAGAACUUCCUGCUUCUGCCUAUUGAGUGCUGAGAUUAAAGGACCCAAAUGAUUGCUUAAAAGUAGCCCCGAGAGGGGCUGGAGAGAUGGCUCAGGAGUUAAGAGCAUUGGCUGUUCUUCCAGAGGACCCGGGUACAAUUUCUAGCACCCACAUGGCAGCUCACAGCUGUCUGUAACUCCAGUUCCAGGGGAUC